CUUCUCUCUAUUUUCUCUCUCUAGAUUUUCUAUGAUUUCUUGGUCUAAUAUGAAUGUUUACAUGGUAUCAGAGCCUCGACGACAAUCCGACUAUGUUUCUAUAUGCUUCGUGGUCUUGGAUGAAGUCUGUUUCGAGGUUUUUGGGGGUGAUUUCUGAGACCUCACGGUCGAUGAAGAUUUCAACCUAUCGGAGACUUUUCUGNN
This 204-nucleotide long non-coding RNA is filed under the name Nicotiana benthamiana. RNAcentral describes it as "long non-coding RNA (NBEN_LNC029479)". The record is from RNAcentral. Lineage: Eukaryota; Viridiplantae; Streptophyta; Magnoliopsida; Solanales; Solanaceae.